This 541-nucleotide ribosomal RNA is filed under the name uncultured bacterium. Its description in RNAcentral is "bacterial SSU rRNA". It matches the Rfam family "Bacterial small subunit ribosomal RNA", at positions 336 to 876 of the family's 1533-position model. The record is from RNAcentral.
UUCCUACGGGAGGCAGCAGUGGGGAAUUUUGGACAAUGGGCGCAAGCCUGAUCCCCUGCCGCGUGAGUGAAGAAGGCCUUCGGGUUGAAACAUCUUUCGGCGGGGACGAAACGGUCCGUGCCAACACCACGGACUAAUGACGGUACCCGCAGAAGAAGCACCGGCUAACUACGUGCCAGCAGCCGCGGUAAUACGUAGGGUGCAGGCGUUAAUCGGAAUUACUGGGCGUAAAGCGUGCGUAGGCGGUUUGUUAAGACAGGUGUGAAAUCCCCGGGCUUAACCUGGGAACUGCGCUUGUUACUGGCAGACUUGAGUGUGGCAGAGGGGGGUGGAAUUCCACGUGUAGCAGUGAAAUGCGUGGAGAUGUGGAGGAACACCGGAUGGCGAGCAGCCCCCUGGGCUAACACUGACGCUGAUGCACGAAAGCGUGGGGAGCAAACAGGAUUAGAUACCCUGGUAGUCCACGCCCUAAACUAUGUCAACUGGUUGUCGGGGAAGAAAUUCCUUGGUAACKAAGCUACGCGUGAAGUUGACCGCCWGG